GGGAUACAAGUUUAGAAGCCUGAAGUUGUCUCUGAACUGACAGGAAAAUGUGGGGAAGUCCUUCUUACUACCAGGUUCCUGUGAAUCCACCUCCUGUCUAGAGAAAUCAUAAAGGAAUAAAUGCCAUAGCCAUGAAAGGAACAAACCCUCACUUUGGAGUCAAAAGAGAUAAGCAAAACAAAUCUUGUUUCUGAUGUUUACUGACUGUGUAAUCUUGGGAAGUCUCUUAACCUCUUAUGCUUUUUAAUGUCUUAUCUAUGAAAUGAGAUUUUUAAGUUAAUGACCUCUGAAAUCCCUUGCAUAUUUAAUUCUGUACUCCUAUGAUUAUCUAGCC
RNAcentral lists this long non-coding RNA (334 nucleotides) under Monodelphis domestica (gray short-tailed opossum). RNAcentral's name for it is "lncRNA (ENSMODG00000049651.1)". Lineage: Eukaryota; Metazoa; Chordata; Mammalia; Didelphimorphia; Didelphidae. The record is from RNAcentral.